Molecule: long non-coding RNA, 399 nt
Filed under: Trifolium pratense (red clover)
Lineage: Eukaryota; Viridiplantae; Streptophyta; Magnoliopsida; Fabales; Fabaceae
Description: long non-coding RNA (TPRA_LNC007050)
Source: RNAcentral
UUUUGAGUUUAUCUAAUUAAUUAAAAUAAAUUUAAAAAACAAACAAGAAUUCUCUAGAACCAUUAAUCAAAAAUAUAAAAAGAAUUCUCUAGAUCCCAAUGUAAAGAUGAAGAAGACUAUUCCGAUGCUAAGAUGAAGAAAAUUGUUCUCAGUCUCAAAAAUUCUAUUGCAAAAUUUCAUCUCCUUCAUUCUCAAUAAAAUAUGUCACCAACUACCCAAAUCUCUUUUUACUCAAAAAAAUAAAAUAAAUACUUGCACAAAAAAAAAAACACAAAUCUCUCAUCACACAAACCACCGUCAAACAGAUCAAGAUUCGCCGUCAUGCAAGCAACAAUUUUUCACCCAAACUCUACGCUCCUUGUUCUCUUGUUUGACUUCUUCCUCUUUGAAACAACAACC